GCCAGUCUUGCUACAUUGACACCAUAGCUUUUAGGGCAUGCACCAGGCAUCAACCUAUAUAGAAAUGUAACUUCCUCCACUUCUCCAACCCCAGUUCCAACUUGACAUGCCAUGUGGCAGAGUGAGACCUUGGGAUCUUUCUGAUAGUCUACAGCUAAUCGAUGAUAGUGAGUUGAAAACAUUCCUCGACACUGCACCUCGUGGACAAAAUGAUCAAGUACUGCUUCCGCUAUUGCUUGUCCAUCUGAUGUUGAUGUGCCACGUCCAAGUUCAUCCAGUGCCACCAAUGA
Molecule: unclassified non-coding RNA, 290 nt
Filed under: Hevea brasiliensis (rubber tree)
Lineage: Eukaryota; Viridiplantae; Streptophyta; Magnoliopsida; Malpighiales; Euphorbiaceae
Source: RNAcentral